GAACUCAUUUCCUUCUUCACCGUGAGAAAGGUUCCAUAUUCGUGAAGCAACCAGGGUUACCAAGCAGACUAUGCCGAAUAAGCCGAGCGUGGCUGAGGGGCAAACGUGUCGGCAAUGUUCGCCUGGUGGGGCACACUGCUAUAUCUCCCUGUGGUGGAAAACACCUCCAUCGUGUGACAGUGUGGUACUAACAAAGGUACGACCCAUAGAAACUCCCAUCGUCGAGAGCUGUCUCAGGUGUCAAGUUUUCGGCUGCGUGCUCCUACUCUUGUACAGUCGGCUGCACUGCGGUGACAACAGUCAUCUCGUAUGACAGCCUGAGCCCCUUUCUAGAGUACCUGCACCCCAGUACAUGCAUCCCAUUUUGAGCCAAACCACGGCCGGCUUGUGGAGGGAAGGGUUGGUACAUGCCCAUUUGUUUCAUCACCCUGUGGAUAUUGUGUGGUUCCACAUGCACGUCUAGCACAAGGUGACAGGUAGUCCUCCAGAGUUGUGCAUCUCGCGUGCAAAGAUCUGCGAGACCAUGCGGGCCCCUGUCGUGUACAUCGUGUGGGGUGUAAGGAGUCCACCGAACACGGUCAGGCGUAAGCUGAUCAAAGUCAGCUACAAACUGCGUGUACACACGCCGUGUUGUCCCGCUAACCCACCUCAGCUGCAACCAGAAGAAAUUCAUUGUAUCAAAAUAGUAUACCAGUAGUAAUGAACCGUUUGUAACGACAAUACAAAAUAAUUGAACUAAGAUAACCUCACGGUGCGUCCAUAAUGAUCCCAUAGUGGGACGAUCGUUGAUGUCAUCGACACCAGAUGUAUACAUCUCGGACACCCUAUAGCUUGCGUACGAGUCGAGCUGAGGUCUCCCAAUGUCGAACCGCUCGUGCGCCCACAACAUAAGCAGCAACGGACAUUCUGUUAGUGAACUUUGCUUGCUAUUCCUCACGCAAGCAUCGCACAAUCAAGCAUAAGUUGCCGCAAGUACCGCCGACCCCCAACUAUACUGUGGAAUAUCGUCCAUAGGUAAUGUUGCAAUCUCCUCUACGUAGUGGAUGAAGUGCUUGUCCACGGAGUCAGCAUGUGUUCCUGUGAACAUCACUCUUCCGAACAACCACAGGAGGUAAGCGACUAAGUGCCGUUGCUGUAUCCACUCGUCCUAGUCAUCUGAGAAGACAUCCUGCCGAAACAGAUUGAGCCAGGUCUUCGUUGGCCCAUGGCCAUCCGUGAGAUCAUUAAGUCCAUCGGGUAGCACACCUGCAAAACUGGCAAGAAGGUCGUCGACCCAUCCAGCAUGUACCACAGUUGGGCCAACUGCUGGCCCAGCUAGCGGCAGCCCCAACAAAUAAGACACAUCCUGCAAAGUGGGCACCAUCUCUCCAACUGUCAGGUGGAAAGUGUGGGUCUCCGGCCUCCAUCUAUCCACAAGAGCACUAAGAAGCGCCGCGUCAAUUGGGAUUCUUUUGGCCCUUCCACGUGAAGGCUCGACCAGCCGUGCAAAGGUCAACAGCCCAGCUGCUCUCAACCUACAACAUGAAGUACAGUAUGUUAGUAGUACAUCAAGAUUUGAAAAUAAGAUAUUAAUAAGAAAACUAUCUGUAAAUUUAUGCACCUUGGAAUCCAACGAGGAUCAAUACGCCAAUAUUGAUCCAGUC
Long non-coding RNA from Oryza brachyantha (malo sina), 1643 nucleotides. RefSeq lists it as uncharacterized. The transcript has 3 exons. Lineage: Eukaryota; Viridiplantae; Streptophyta; Magnoliopsida; Poales; Poaceae. The record is from RefSeq and is a predicted model, not a curated record.